Molecule: ribosomal RNA, 253 nt
Filed under: uncultured bacterium
Lineage: Bacteria
Description: partial 16S ribosomal RNA
Rfam family: Bacterial small subunit ribosomal RNA
Source: RNAcentral
UACGUAGGGGGCAAGCGUUGUUCGGAAUUACUGGGCGUAAAGCGCACGUAGGCGGCUUUCUAAGUCGGGGGUGAAAUCCUGGAGCUCAACUCCAGAACUGCCUUCGAUACUGGAGAGCUUGAGUCCGGGAGAGGUGAGUGGAACUGCGAGUGUAGAGGUGAAAUUCGUAGAUAUUCGCAAGAACACCAGUGGCGAAGGCGGCUCACUGGCCCGGUACUGACGCUGAGGUGCGAAAGCGUGGGGAGCAAACAGG